RNAcentral lists this ribosomal RNA (497 nucleotides) under uncultured bacterium. Its description in RNAcentral is "partial 16S ribosomal RNA". It matches the Rfam family "Bacterial small subunit ribosomal RNA", at positions 28 to 507 of the family's 1533-position model. The record is from RNAcentral.
GAUGAACGCUGGCGGCGUGCCUAAUACAUGCAAGUCGAGCGAACAGACGAGGAGCUUGCUCCUCUGACGUUAGCGGCGGACGGGUGAGUGACACGUGGAUAACCUACCUAUAAGACUGGGAUAACUUCGGGAAACCGGAGCUAAUACCGGAUAAUAUAUUGAACCGCAUGGUUCAAUAGUGAAAGACGGUUUUGCUGUCACUUAUAAAUGGAUCCGCGCCGCAUUAGCUAGUUGGUAAGGUAACGGCUUACCAAGGCAACGAUGCGUAGCCGACCUGAGAGGGUGAUCGGCCACACUGGAACUGAGACACGGUCCAGACUCCUACGGGAGGCAGCAGUAGGGAAUCUUCCGCAAUGGGCGAAAGCCUGACGGAGCAACGCCGCGUGAGUGAUGAAGGUCUUCGGAUCGUAAAACUCUGUUAUUAGGGAAGAACAAAUGUGUAAGUAACUAUGCACGUCUUGACGGUACCUAAUCAGAAAGCCACGGCUAACUACGUG